UGGGGUUGGGCCCUGGAGGGCCAGCCUGCCUUUCCUCCUACUCCUUCCGUAGGAAGCUGCUAUGUAAAGUAUGUUUUAUUAUAGUUGCUUAUAAA
Sapajus apella (tufted capuchin) is the source of this 95-nucleotide long non-coding RNA. RefSeq lists it as uncharacterized. The transcript has 3 exons. The record is from RefSeq and is a predicted model, not a curated record. NCBI's taxonomy places the organism in Eukaryota, Metazoa, Chordata, Mammalia, Primates, Cebidae.